RNAcentral lists this ribosomal RNA (506 nucleotides) under uncultured bacterium. Its description in RNAcentral is "partial 16S ribosomal RNA". It matches the Rfam family "Bacterial small subunit ribosomal RNA", at positions 29 to 523 of the family's 1533-position model. The record is from RNAcentral.
AGUGAACGCUGGCGGUAGGCCUAACACAUGCAAGUCGAACGGCAGCACAGGAGAGCUUGCUCUCUGGGUGGCGAGUGGCGGACGGGUGAGGAAUGCAUCGGAAUCUACUCUGUCGUGGGGGAUAACGUAGGGAAACUUACGCUAAUACCGCAUACGACCUACGGGUGAAAGCAGGGGAUCUUCGGACCUUGCGCGAUUGAAUGAGCCGAUGUCGGAUUAGCUAGUUGGCGGGGUAAAGGCCCACCGAGGCGACGAUCCGUAGCUGGUCUGAGAGGAUGAUCAGCAACACUGGGACUGAGACACGGUCCAGACUACUACGGGAGGCAGCAGUGGGGAAUAUUGGACAAUGGGCGCAAGCCUGAUCCAGCCAUACCGCGUGGGUGAAGAAGGCCUUCGGGUUGUAAAGCCCUUUUGUUGGGAAAGAAAUCCAGCUGGUUAAUACCCGGUUGGGAUGACGGUACCCAAAGAAUAAGCACCGGCUAACUUCGUGCCAGCCGCCGCCGUAA